This 253-nucleotide ribosomal RNA is filed under the name uncultured bacterium. RNAcentral describes it as "partial 16S ribosomal RNA". It matches the Rfam family "Bacterial small subunit ribosomal RNA", at positions 524 to 776 of the family's 1533-position model. The record is from RNAcentral.
GACAGAGGUGCCGAGCGUUAGGCGGAAUCACUGGGCUUAAAGCGUGUGUAGGCGGGUCGUUAAGUGCCUUGUGAAAUCCCACAGCUCACCUGUGGAACUGCUUGGCAUACUGGCGAUCUUGAGCCACUUAGGGGCAACCGGAACAAACGGUGGAGCGGUGAAAUGCGUAGAUAUCGACAGGAACGCCGGUGGCGAAAGCGGACCGCUGGCCCUCUUCUGACGCUGAGGCGCGAAAGCCAGGGGAGCGAACGGG